RNAcentral lists this ribosomal RNA (259 nucleotides) under uncultured prokaryote. RNAcentral's name for it is "partial 16S ribosomal RNA". It matches the Rfam family "Bacterial small subunit ribosomal RNA", at positions 524 to 782 of the family's 1533-position model. The record is from RNAcentral.
UACGGAGGAUCCGAGCGUUAUCCGGAUUUAUUGGGUUUAAAGGGUGCGUAGGUGGAGAUUUAAGUCAGUGGUGAAAGCCUGCAGCUUAACUGCAGAACUGCCAUUGAUACUGAUAGUCUUGAGUUUGGUUAAGGUAGGCGGAAUGUGUAAUGUAGCGGUGAAAUGCUUAGAUAUUACACAGAACACCAAUUGCGUAGGCAGCUUACUGAGCCGACACUGACGCUGAGGCACGAAAGCGUGGGGAUCGAACAGGAUUAGA